AACGCAUAUUGCACUAUCUUUCGGGAUAGUAUGCCUGUUUGAGAAUCUAUAGUAUUCAUUUUUAUAUUUUUUUUAUUAUAUAUUAUAUAAUGAGAAAUUUAUAAAAGAUUUGAAGUGUUCCCACUAAAAAUUUAUUUUUAUAGGGUACUUUUAAUAUUAUAGUUUUGAUUUUUAUUAGAAAUGUUUGAGUUUUCUCUAUAAAAUUUCAACAGAAAAGUAUUUGAAUGAGACCUCUUUUAUUAGAGAUUUCUAACUUUUGCCUAUUAAGUUGAAAAAGAGUAAAUGAGUUUCUAUUUAAAAUGAUAAAUUCAUACCCAUUUAUUAAAGGAAUUUUUUUUUAUAAAGACUUUAUACUCUUAAAAAAAAAGAAUUUCUUUGAACCAUGGUCUCAAAUCAGGUAGGAAGACCCGCUGAACUUAA
Molecule: unclassified non-coding RNA, 420 nt
Filed under: uncultured Chytridiomycota
Lineage: Eukaryota; Fungi; Chytridiomycota
Description: sequence contains ITS2
Source: RNAcentral